Molecule: ribosomal RNA, 402 nt
Filed under: uncultured bacterium
Lineage: Bacteria
Description: bacterial SSU rRNA
Rfam family: Bacterial small subunit ribosomal RNA
Source: RNAcentral
UGGGGAAUAUUGCACAAUGGGCGAAAGCCUGAUGCAGCAACGCCGCGUGAGUGAUGAAGGCCUUCGGGUUGUAAAGCUCUGUCUUUUGGGACGAUAAUGACGGUACCAAAGGAGGAAGCCACGGCUAACUACGUGCCAGCAGCCGCGGUAAUACGUAGGUGGCAAGCGUUGUCCGGAAUUACUGGGCGUAAAGAAUGCGUAGGUGGAUAUGCAAGUCAGAUGUGAAAUACCCGGGCUCAACUUGGGUGCUGCAUUUGAAACUAUAUACCUAGAGUGCAGGAGAGGAAAGCGGAAUUCCUAGUGUAGCGGUGAAAUGGGUAGAGAUUAGGAAGAACACCAGUGGCGAAGGCGGCUUUCUGGACUGUAACUGACACUGAGGCAUGAAAGCGUGGGGAGCAAACA